Long non-coding RNA from Gopherus flavomarginatus (Mexican gopher tortoise), 561 nucleotides. RefSeq lists it as uncharacterized. The transcript has 3 exons. The record is from RefSeq and is a predicted model, not a curated record. NCBI's taxonomy places the organism in Eukaryota, Metazoa, Chordata, Testudines, Testudinidae.
CGCGGAGGUCUCCAGCAGCCUUUUGACAUCCCUGGCUAAGCUCGUUACACUAACUUGAGGCGCAGCUCCUGCGGCGAGCUCGGGCGGGCAGAGCCCGGUGCGUGCCCAGGGCUGGCUGGGCCUCUCCCCAGGCAGAGGCCUAGGAAGAGGGAAAGUGGAUAAAGAACCCACAGAAGCUACAGAAGGAGAAGAAGUGUGCUGAGCAGCUGGGGGUGGAUGUAGGGCAGCGGAGGGAAUAAAAGUUGCAGUGUCAUUGCAGACACGAGCUACAGUGUCACUAAUCAUCUUCACCAUUUCCGCCUGUCUUUUCCCUAUGUCUGCAUCUGCUUAACAACAAGCUGGACAGGGGUCGGCAACCUUUCAGGAGUGGUGUGUCGAGUCAUCAUUUAUUCACUCUAAUUUAAGGUUUCAUGUGCCAGGAAUACAUUUUAAUGUUUUUAGAAGGUCUCUUUCUAUAAGUCUAUAACAUAUAACUAAACAAUUGUAUGUAAACUAAAUACUGUUUUUAAAAUGUUUAAGAAGCUUCGUUUAAAAUUCAAUUAAAAUGCUUAGCCCCCCAGG